RNAcentral lists this long non-coding RNA (204 nucleotides) under Elaeis guineensis (African oil palm). RNAcentral's name for it is "long non-coding RNA (EGUI_LNC072419)". The record is from RNAcentral. Lineage: Eukaryota; Viridiplantae; Streptophyta; Magnoliopsida; Arecales; Arecaceae.
AGGCGGUGGCAUCUGUGCAGCAUCUAAUGAUGAUAUCUGCGGAAUAUGCGGUGAUGGCAUAUGUGAAACAUAUGGUGAUGGCGUAUAUCUCAUAUCUGGUGUUGGAGCUGCUCCAUACCAAAGUACACAGCUAUAUGGAUCAAAACCAAUUGCCACCAAUAUUUCGAAACUUGUUCUCUCUAUCUCCCGCAGUAUCCGAAUCCG